This 731-nucleotide ribosomal RNA is filed under the name uncultured bacterium. Its description in RNAcentral is "bacterial SSU rRNA". It matches the Rfam family "Bacterial small subunit ribosomal RNA", at positions 771 to 1501 of the family's 1533-position model. The record is from RNAcentral.
AACAGGAUUAGAUACCCUGGUAGUCCGCGCCGUAAACGAUGAGUGCUAGGUGUUGGGGGGCUUCUGCCCUUCAGGGCCAGAGCUAACGCAUUAAGCACUCCGCCGGGGGAGUACGACCGCAAGGUUGAAACUCAAAGGAAUUGACGGGGGCCCGCACAAGCGGUGGAGCAUGUGGUUUAAUUCGAAGCUACGCGAAGAACCUUACCAGGUCUUGACAUCUUGCGCCAACCCUAGAGAUAGGGCGUUUCCUUCGGGAACGCAAUGACAGGUGGUGCAUGGUCGUCGUCAGCUCGUGUCGUGAGAUGUUGGGUUAAGUCCCGCAACGAGCGCAACCCUUGUUACUAGUUGCCAGCAUUAAGUUGGGCACUCUAGUGAGACUGCCGGUGACAAACCGGAGGAAGGUGGGGACGACGUCAGAUCAUCAUGCCCCUUAUGACCUGGGCUACACACGUGCUACAAUGGACGGUACAAUGAGUCGCGAACUCGCGAGGGCAAGCAAAUCUCUUAAAACCGUUCUCAGUUCGGACUGCAGGCUGCAACUCGCCUGCACGAAGUCAGAAUCGCUAGUAAUCGCGGAUCAGCAUGCCGCGGUGAAUACGUUCCCGGGCCUUGUACACACCGCCCGUCACACCAUGAGAGUUUGUAACACCCAAAGUCGGUGGGGUAACCUUUUAGGAGCCAGCCGCCUAAGGUGGGACAGAUGAUUAGGGUGAAGUCGUAACAAGGUAACC